This 191-nucleotide unclassified non-coding RNA is filed under the name Glomeromycotina sp. Its description in RNAcentral is "partial contains small subunit ribosomal RNA, internal transcribed spacer 1, and 5.8S ribosomal RNA". The stretch from base 1 to 47 matches the Rfam family "Eukaryotic small subunit ribosomal RNA", at positions 1785 to 1831 of the family's 1831-position model. Lineage: Eukaryota; Fungi; Glomeromycota. The record is from RNAcentral.
AAAGUCGUAACAAGGUUUCCGUAGGUGAACCUGCGGAAGGAUCAUUAAUGAUUUUUUAAGCAAACCGAGCGAAAGCGAGGUUUUGCGAAUAUAUUUAAAACCCCCACUCUUUAUAAAAGAAAAAAUUUUCAUAUUCAUAAAAAUGAAUAAAAAAAAAAAGAUCACUUUCAACAACGGAUCUCUUGGCUCUC